AGAAAUUCAUCAUAAAUCUAAGCAUCUCCAAAAUUGGUACAAAUAGAUAUCUUACAAUUGCAAGUUGUAAACAUUCAUAUAGACAUCGGGAAUAUAAAGAAAAUCUAGACACAAAUCAAUAAUUCAAGAAACACAUAUUAUACACUUGUACAAUUUAAACUAAAAUUAGGUUAAACAUGAAGACCCUACACAUGGUAAUACUUCAAAAGAAACACG
RNAcentral lists this long non-coding RNA (216 nucleotides) under Hordeum vulgare. RNAcentral describes it as "long non-coding RNA (HVUL_LNC003342)". The record is from RNAcentral. Lineage: Eukaryota; Viridiplantae; Streptophyta; Magnoliopsida; Poales; Poaceae.